AAUCCACAUCCGGGUUGUAUUCAAGAUCCCUCUCUGGAUCAUCUUCUUCUUCAAAAGUCUUUCUCCCCCUUCAGGUUCCCUUUCCUUAGCUUCUCCUCAGGGUCCUGAAAUGGUUAUUCAAUAACCAAUGAGACCACGUCUCAGCGAGUCCUACCCACUAAGACUCGAUUAAUAAACUAAUACGCCAUUCGGUUGCCUAAGCACAACACGAGUCAGAGGACUUACCUUAGCCUCAGUUCCAACCUGCAAUUCAAGGUUAAACAUAGAUAUUCAAACAAUUCACGACAUCCGAUCACGCAUUGAUCAAUCGACUAAGUCGAUUACAUGUCAGCCAGACCCUUUCUAGGUCAUUCCCACUCAUACCACGCUUUCUCAGUGGUGUACUCAUUCACCAAAUCACAUGUGUUUCUCGGGCGUCGUUUUCGCCAAUGACAUACCGAUCACCGACACCGUGCGUUCUUUAAGGCGCCGUUUUCACCAGUGAUAACCUUGAUCACCGAACCACGUGUCCUUUCAAGGGCGUCGUUUUCGCCAAGGUGACAUCGGCUAUAGACAACAUCGUGCGUUCUUUAAGGCGCCGUUUUCACCAGUGAUAUUCCCAUAACCACCGAACCACGUGUGUCUAUAAGUCAUUUACGUGCGUUCUUUAAGGCGCCGUUUUCGCCAGUGAUACUUCCAAUCACCGAACCACGUAUGUCCAAUAACAUCGUACCUGAUUGGUCUCAUCAUUCUUCCUACUAUAUAGCCCAUCAACGUACUGGCGCUAUAUAUCCAUGCUUAGCCAUUACCAAUCAAAUACUCAAUAACAAACAAUUUAGGACAAUUCAUAAAAUUCCACAAUAAAUUCAAUUCCACACAACGUAGAGCUCAAAUAAAUAAACGGUCUGCACCACGACAAUCGGCACGAAAUUCCGGUCACCGGCCAUCCCGGUUGAAUUUCCGGAAAAAUAAUUAAUUAAAUAAAUAAAUUUCGAAAAUUAAAUAAAUAAACAUAAAAAUCCAAUUUAGGCCCAUAUUGCCUUAUUGGAGCCCGAAACGGGUCGGGAAAAAUCCCGAGAUACAUUCAAUAAAUAACCAAACAUUUCUACUUGCUAAUAGCUAGGUCUAACCACCUAACAUGCAUCAUUAAGUCACUAAACUAAUUGUUCUAACCUAAUCUAACCACCUAAUUGCACUUAAUUAAAUCUAACCAACCUUAAGCAUAAUUAGCAAACUAAUAAAGCAUUAGUGAGUAAAACUCACUUGACAAAAGCGGAGACCGAAUCACCGCAACGGCGACGCGACGGCGGCCGAAAUAGGACUUUCGACGACACCGGCGGGCUUGGGACCGGGCCUUGAUCUUGGCCCAACAAAUCUCAGUCCAAAUGAGAUUUGUUCUUGCACUGGAAUGGGCUGGACCUGCUGAAUUGGGCUUGCGAAAUUCACUUGGGCUUCAAGUUUCUUUGCUGAAAAAAAUUGGGCUUGGCCAAUUAACUCACAUGGACUGGACUGGGCUUGAACUUGGGCCAAACUGAUGCUGAUCACUUGGGCUGGAAUUUUGCAAGCUGAGCUGGAACUUACAAGCUGAUGGGCCAAUUUUCGUUGGGCUAAAUUCGAGUAAACGUGGAGCGGUGGCAGAGAAAAAUCGGUCGCUGCUGCAGGGGAGAUUCGGUGGCCUUCGCUGGUUGCUUCGAGCUGAAGAUUAGCCACGCUUGGAGAAUGGUGUGAGCUGCUGGGACAAGUGGCGCGGACGUGCGGAGGCUUGGACGUCGCUGCAGCUGAGUUCAAUAGAGCUGAAGACACGCGGCCACAAGGUCAACAAACCAGGAAAUUGGCUGGCUUCAGUGGAGUCUUCGGUGGCCGCGACUUCAAGUGGUCAACGAAGGAGCUCCUGUGAGCUUACUGUUGACCAGGGAGACACGCAGCUUGGAGGAAUUCUCGGUGGGGUUUGAUUCGUGGCAGAAGAGAGAGGAAUGAUGGUGGGAUUUCGGUGGACGGUUCGUGAAGUUGCUGGGGAGACCGUGCGGUUUGGUGGGGUGCGGAGUUGGCGUGAGUGGCCGACCAGCUCGGUGGAAUCGUGACUUCAAGUCAACCAAGAACUUCACGCGGUGGGGAACUUGACCAAGACGCGGGCUGUUGAAGACACAAAACACGGAGUAGCGCCAGUGAAGAUCCCGAGAGCUGGCUUCUUGGUGGAUCGGUCUUUGGUCUUCAGUGCAGCUGGUCUCUCAAUCUUCAAGCAGCGGCAAUGGAAAGCAAAAAGGGAGGUUGUCGCACGAAGGGAAAUGAGAAGGGAGAGAGAGGAUGGAGGUGGACGGUGGGUGAGAGAAAGAGAGAAUGGAUAGAGAUGAGUGAGGGGCCCUUUGGCUUUUAA
This 2353-nucleotide long non-coding RNA is filed under the name Eucalyptus grandis. Its description in RNAcentral is "long non-coding RNA (EGRA_LNC000762)". The record is from RNAcentral. Lineage: Eukaryota; Viridiplantae; Streptophyta; Magnoliopsida; Myrtales; Myrtaceae.